GCAAACUUGGUCAUUUAGAGGAAGUAAAAGUCGUAACAAGGUUUCCGUAGGUGAACCUGCGGAAGGAUCAUUAACAAUUGUCCAACCAUAAUGGAUAAUUUUUAUCCAUAUCCACCUUGUGUGAAUUCAUUGAAAUGUUUAUUGGCAGGUUAGGAGGCUUCUAUUGGUGAAACUCCGUGGGUUUUUUUGUCGGCUCGGCCUGCCAAUUUUAUUAUGUUUAAACAUGUCUAAAUAAUUACUGGUCUGAAAUUGUAUAUUUUUAUAUAAUAAAAUACAACUUUCAACAACGGAUCUCUUGGCUCUCGCAUCGAUGAAGAACGCAGC
Molecule: unclassified non-coding RNA, 324 nt
Filed under: uncultured fungus
Lineage: Eukaryota; Fungi
Description: partial contains small subunit ribosomal RNA, internal transcribed spacer 1, and 5.8S ribosomal RNA
Rfam family: Eukaryotic small subunit ribosomal RNA (bases 1-73)
Source: RNAcentral